Non-coding RNA from Pelobates cultripes (western spadefoot toad), 1067 nucleotides. The record is from the annotation of a GenBank genome assembly. Lineage: Eukaryota; Metazoa; Chordata; Amphibia; Anura; Pelobatidae.
AAGAAUAGCAGUAUGCCAAACUCAAAAAAACCAAACAAAAAACCAACAAACUGACUCCCCUUACGUGAGACAAUUCCCUGGAGCAAACCACAUUGACUUUUACAACCUCAUUGUAAAAUAUUUGAGAUAAUGGAAGUAUGAGACAUUUGUUCAUUGCACUAUAAUUCACCGCUAAAAGGCAACAUUAAACUAUAUGGGUGCUUUUUUAGAACCUUGGAUAAGCUUUAUCAGUUCCCGAUUGAUCCUUGGUAACCAGAACUCCUUAGACAACGCAAAUUUGGUUUGUUAUUCACCAAAACACCAAGCUAAUUUAGAGAAAUGAAAUAAAGGAUAACCAUUCUUCUCAAUAAGUACUGGAAACAAAAGAUCUUCUCUUUAGACAAAGGUCAGAACCAAAAGUCUUGGGAGAAAGGACUUGGUUGGCUAGCUCAGCCUUUAGGGUAUUGCAGACAUUUUGCACUCCUGGCUUUUGAAAAACGUGAGAAGUUAAAAUCUGGGAAACUCAAUAGAGAUACAGAGCAUGCAAAGAUUCUCAGUAUGUAUUGUGCCAUUAUGAUAACCAUUAGCACUCUAUAACCUGUCACAAUUCCUCACUGGUUCAUAAAAGUUAUGUUUGUUUAAGGGCUUAGAAGACUGACCUAUUUUACAUAGAAUCUCCUCUAGCUUUAGAGACGACAGCAUUCUAAAAUGCAAAAUGGUAGGUUGCGUAGACUCAACUGUUGAACAGGAGCAGAUAAAAAUCCUGCUUCCAGCUUUAGAAUAGGAUUUGUUUGCCUCAGCUCCUUGUCUUAGCUGUAAUCAAAAGCUACGAGAAAGUGAAAACAACCCCCCCCCCAACCUUUAAAAAAGUGUUUGAUGUAAAUAUAGUCGCAUCUAAGAAGAGGCAGACUGAAUGAGAACAGUAGUUGCAGCAUGAAGAGAAAGACAGGGUGCUUUAGCUGUGUGGCCCACAUAAUACAUAUAUUCCAUUUCAGGUGUUCUCUUCCUUGUACUUCCAACACAUUACAGUAUCCUUUUGGUAUUUCACACAUCUUUGUCUUCAUUUAUUCUACUCCCUGUAACCCUCA